AACGAACGCUGGCGGCAUGCCUAACACAUGCAAGUCGAACGAGACCUUCGGGUCUAGUGGCGCACGGGUGCGUAACGCGUGGGAACCUGCCCUUAGGUUCGGAAUAACCCCCCGAAAGGGGUGCUAAUACCGGAUAAUGUCUUCGGACCAAAGAUUUAUCGCCUUUGGAUGGGCCCGCGUUGGAUUAGCUAGUUGGUAGGGUAAAAGCCUACCAAGGCGACGAUCCAUAGCUGGUCUGAGAGGAUGAUCAGCCACACUGGGACUGAGACACGGCCCAGACUCCUACGGGAAGCAGCAGUGGGGAAUAUUGGACAAUGGGCGAAAGCCUGAUCCAGCAAUGCCGCGUGAGUGAUGAAGGCCUUAGGGUUGUAAAGCUCUUUUACCCGGGAUGAUAAUGACAGUACCGGGAGAAUAAGCUCCGGCUAACUCCGUG
Molecule: ribosomal RNA, 433 nt
Filed under: uncultured bacterium
Lineage: Bacteria
Description: partial 16S ribosomal RNA
Rfam family: Bacterial small subunit ribosomal RNA
Source: RNAcentral